CUCUGCAGUUUUUUAAUUUAUUCCAAUACACUUCACCUGUCAAACAAACUACGGUCACUUUAUUCCUUUUCACGAUUGAACUUGAUGCCAUUUGUUUUACGGAGAAUGUGUAUUAUUUCACCUGGGGCAACCAACUGAAAUAUGGAUGAACUGCCAAAAUGCUAGCUAAAAUUAAGAACUCAGCAAUUUCGAGUACUUCUAUGUUUCUGUAAACUGAUUUUGGGUGUUAUCUGAUGUUUGUGUUAACUGAAUUGAUGCACUAACUCAACUAAAUUUGUCAACAGAAUCAGACUUAACUGGAUGUUGUUUUUAACUGAAACUUUAGUUUUAACUGAAUUUAUGUGCUACCUCAAAUUAAAAUUAGUGUUAAUUGAAUCCAUGGUGUUUUUUUUCAGGGGGGGGGGGGGGGGGCUUACUUCUGUAAUUUGCAAAAAUAUCUUACGACCGGUUUUGCUACGCCACAAAACGCAGUAAAGUCUUCUUCACCGCACGCACAGGCAGGUAUAUGCUGCUAUCUAUCCUGGUCUUGAUGGUUUCAUAUGAAGUUGUAUAUGCUAGUACAUCUUGGUGUAUAGUGAGUAUGCUAGCACUACAAUACACAGUUUGUUGCAGGAAAUAAAAUUGAUGGCUACAUCGUACCACCUUAUUUUAAACUGAUUAAAGUGUUAAGAAUGACCAUGGACAUUUCCUCCUUGGUAUAAGAAUGCAUUCCCACAACUACAA
Molecule: long non-coding RNA, 723 nt
Organism: Triticum aestivum (bread wheat)
Lineage: Eukaryota; Viridiplantae; Streptophyta; Magnoliopsida; Poales; Poaceae
Exons: 2
Source: RefSeq, a predicted model, not a curated record